This 375-nucleotide ribosomal RNA is filed under the name uncultured organism. Its description in RNAcentral is "partial 16S ribosomal RNA". It matches the Rfam family "Bacterial small subunit ribosomal RNA", at positions 527 to 897 of the family's 1533-position model. The record is from RNAcentral.
GUAGGUGGCAAGCGUUGUCCGGAAUUAUUGGGGCGUAAAGCGCGCGCAGGCGGUUUUUUAAGUCUGAUGUGAAAGCCCACGGGCUCAACCGUGGAGGGUCAUUGGAAACUGGAGAACUUGAGUACAGAAGAGGAAAGCGGAAUUCCACGUGUAGCGGUGAAAUGCGUAGAGAUGUGGAGGAACACCAGUGGCGAAGGCGGCUUUCUGGUCUGUAACUGACGCUGAGGCGCGAAAGCGUGGGGAGCAAACAGGAUUAGAUACCCUGGUAGUCCACGCCGUAAACGAUGAGUGCUAAGUGUUAGGGGGUUUCCGCCCCUUAGUGCUGCAGCUAACGCAUUAAGCACUCCGCCUGGGGAGUACGGCCGCAAAGGCUGA